GCAUUGGUGGUUCAGUGGUAGAAUUCACGCCUGCCACGCGGAGGCCCGGGUUCGAUUCCUGGCCAAUGCA
Molecule: transfer RNA, 70 nt
Filed under: Dallia pectoralis (Alaska blackfish)
Lineage: Eukaryota; Metazoa; Chordata; Actinopteri; Esociformes; Umbridae
Description: tRNA-Gly
Rfam family: tRNA
About the family: Transfer RNA (tRNA) molecules are approximately 80 nucleotides in length. Their secondary structure includes four short double-helical elements and three loops (D, anti-codon, and T loops).
Source: RNAcentral